RNAcentral lists this ribosomal RNA (253 nucleotides) under uncultured bacterium. RNAcentral's name for it is "partial 16S ribosomal RNA". It matches the Rfam family "Bacterial small subunit ribosomal RNA", at positions 524 to 776 of the family's 1533-position model. The record is from RNAcentral.
GACGUAGGAUGCGAGCGUUGUUCGGAAUUAUUGGGCGUAAAGAGCGUGUAGGCGGCCAUACAGGUCAGCUGUGAAAACUCGAGGCUCAACCUCGAGACGUCGGUUGAAACCGUAUGGCUAGAGUCCGGAAGAGGAGAGUGGAAUUCCCGGUGUAGCGGUGAAAUGCGCAGAUAUCAGGAAGAACACCUAUGGCGAAGGCAGCUCUCUGGGACGGUACUGACGCUGAGACGCGAAAGCGUGGGGAGCGAACAGG